AGUGAACGCUGGCGGUAGGCCUAACACAUGCAAGUCGAACGGCAGCACAGUAAGAGCUUGCUCUUACGGGUGGCGAGUGGCGGACGGGUGAGGAAUACAUCGGAAUCUACUUUUUCGUGGGGGAUAACGUAGGGAAACUUACGCUAAUACCGCAUACGACCUACGGGUGAAAGCAGGGGAUCUUCGGACCUUGCGCGAUUGAAUGAGCCGAUGUCGGAUUAGCUAGUUGGCGGGGUAAAGGCCCACCAAGGCGACGAUCCGUAGCUGGUCUGAGAGGAUGAUCAGCAACAAUUGAACUGAAACACAGUACAGACUCCUACGGGAGGCAGCAGUGGGGAAUAUUGGAAAAGGGGCGCAAGCCUGAUCAAGCCAUACCGCGUGGGUGAAGAAGGCCUUCGGGUUGUAAAGCCCUUUUGUAGGGAAAGAAAAAAAGCAGGUUAAUACCCCGCUGUUCUGACGGUACCAAAAGAAUAAGCACCGGCUAACUUCGUG
Molecule: ribosomal RNA, 492 nt
Filed under: uncultured bacterium
Lineage: Bacteria
Description: partial 16S ribosomal RNA
Rfam family: Bacterial small subunit ribosomal RNA
Source: RNAcentral